UGUAUAUGCACGCAUUUAGCCGUCCAGCGG
RNAcentral lists this non-coding RNA (30 nucleotides) under Mus musculus (house mouse). The record is from RNAcentral. Lineage: Eukaryota; Metazoa; Chordata; Mammalia; Rodentia; Muridae.